UGAGCAAUCUGCCCUUCUCAUCGGAAUAAGCGUUGGAAACGACGUCUAAUGCCGAAUACGACCUCCUUUCGCAUGAUCGGAGGUGGAAAGCUCCGGCGGAGAAGGAUGAGCUCGCGGCCUAUCAGCUAGUUGGUGUGGGUAAUGGCCCACCAAGGCGACGACGGGUAGCUGGCCUGAGAGGGUGACCGGCCACACUGGGACUGAGACACGGCCCAGACUCCGUAGGAGG
Molecule: ribosomal RNA, 229 nt
Filed under: uncultured bacterium
Lineage: Bacteria
Description: partial 16S ribosomal RNA
Rfam family: Bacterial small subunit ribosomal RNA
Source: RNAcentral